UGUAGCUCAGUGGUAGAACACUUGCCUAGCAUGCAUGAGGUUCUAGGUUUGAUUCCUAGCA
RNAcentral lists this transfer RNA (61 nucleotides) under Heterocephalus glaber (naked mole-rat). It matches the Rfam family "tRNA", at positions 6 to 65 of the family's 71-position model. Rfam says of the family: Transfer RNA (tRNA) molecules are approximately 80 nucleotides in length. The record is from Rfam by way of RNAcentral. Lineage: Eukaryota; Metazoa; Chordata; Mammalia; Rodentia; Bathyergidae.